This 74-nucleotide transfer RNA is filed under the name Cyanobacteria bacterium SBC. RNAcentral's name for it is "tRNA-Cys". It matches the Rfam family "tRNA". From Rfam's summary of the family: Transfer RNA (tRNA) molecules are approximately 80 nucleotides in length. Their secondary structure includes four short double-helical elements and three loops (D, anti-codon, and T loops). RNAcentral also lists the same sequence under 1 other name. Lineage: Bacteria; Bacillati; Cyanobacteriota. The record is from RNAcentral.
GGCUGAGUACCCAAGUGGCCAAAGGGGGGAGCCUGCAAAGCUCCUAAGCGUGAGUUCAAAUCUCACCUCAGCCU